AGGUCAUAUAUGCAGCCAAGGAUGACUUGCCGGAAAACUAUUUCGAUAAUUUUAUGACCCAAAUUAAAUCAUGUGGACAGCCAAGGCUCCUAAACUGAGUUUGCACUAAAAGUAUAUGUCUUAUUGUUUUUAUGCAAACUUAGUUUAAGAGUCUUGCAACUGAAACAACUAGCUAGACGUUGUAAGUUCAAUGUGACUAGUUGUCCGGCAAGUCGUCUAUGGCUACAUGAAGGCCUCC
This 238-nucleotide microRNA precursor is filed under the name Trifolium pratense (red clover). Lineage: Eukaryota; Viridiplantae; Streptophyta; Magnoliopsida; Fabales; Fabaceae. The record is from RNAcentral.